RNAcentral lists this ribosomal RNA (1803 nucleotides) under Bacillus anthracis str. Kruger B. RNAcentral's name for it is "bacterial LSU rRNA". It matches the Rfam family "Bacterial large subunit ribosomal RNA", at positions 1118 to 2925 of the family's 2925-position model. The record is from RNAcentral. Lineage: Bacteria; Bacillati; Bacillota; Bacilli; Caryophanales; Bacillaceae.
CACCAUUUAAAGAGUGCGUAAUAGCUCACUAGUCGAGUGACUCUGCGCCGAAAAUGUACCGGGGCUAAAUACACCACCGAAGCUGCGGAUUGAUACCAAUGGUAUCAGUGGUAGGGGAGCGUUCUAAGGACAGUGAAGUCAGACCGGAAGGACUGGUGGAGUGCUUAGAAGUGAGAAUGCCGGUAUGAGUAGCGAAAGACGGGUGAGAAUCCCGUCCACCGAAUGCCUAAGGUUUCCUGAGGAAGGCUCGUCCGCUCAGGGUUAGUCAGGACCUAAGCCGAGGCCGACAGGCGUAGGCGAUGGACAACAGGUUGAUAUUCCUGUACCACCUCUUUAUCGUUUGAGCAAUGGAGGGACGCAGAAGGAUAGAAGAAGCGUGCGAUUGGUUGUGCACGUCCAAGCAGUUAGGCUGAUAAGUAGGCAAAUCCGCUUAUCGUGAAGGCUGAGCUGUGAUGGGGAAGCUCCUUAUGGAGCGAAGUCUUUGAUUCCCCGCUGCCAAGAAAAGCUUCUAGCGAGAUAAAAGGUGCCUGUACCGCAAACCGACACAGGUAGGCGAGGAGAGAAUCCUAAGGUGUGCGAGAGAACUCUGGUUAAGGAACUCGGCAAAAUGACCCCGUAACUUCGGGAGAAGGGGUGCUUUCUUAACGGAAAGCCGCAGUGAAUAGGCCCAAGCGACUGUUUAGCAAAAACACAGCUCUCUGCGAAGCCGUAAGGCGAAGUAUAGGGGGUGACACCUGCCCGGUGCUGGAAGGUUAAGGAGAGGGGUUAGCGUAAGCGAAGCUCUGAACUGAAGCCCCAGUAAACGGCGGCCGUAACUAUAACGGUCCUAAGGUAGCGAAAUUCCUUGUCGGGUAAGUUCCGACCCGCACGAAAGGUGUAACGAUUUGGGCACUGUCUCAACCAGAGACUCGGUGAAAUUAUAGUACCUGUGAAGAUGCAGGUUACCCGCGACAGGACGGAAAGACCCCGUGGAGCUUUACUGUAGCCUGAUAUUGAAUUUUGGUACAGUUUGUACAGGAUAGGCGGGAGCCUUUGAAACCGGAGCGCUAGCUUCGGUGGAGGCGCUGGUGGGAUACCGCCCUGACUGUAUUGAAAUUCUAACCUACGGGUCUUAUCGACCCGGGAGACAGUGUCAGGUGGGCAGUUUGACUGGGGCGGUCGCCUCCUAAAGUGUAACGGAGGCGCCCAAAGGUUCCCUCAGAAUGGUUGGAAAUCAUUCGUAGAGUGCAAAGGCAUAAGGGAGCUUGACUGCGAGACCUACAAGUCGAGCAGGGACGAAAGUCGGGCUUAGUGAUCCGGUGGUUCCGCAUGGAAGGGCCAUCGCUCAACGGAUAAAAGCUACCCCGGGGAUAACAGGCUUAUCUCCCCCAAGAGUCCACAUCGACGGGGAGGUUUGGCACCUCGAUGUCGGCUCAUCGCAUCCUGGGGCUGUAGUCGGUCCCAAGGGUUGGGCUGUUCGCCCAUUAAAGCGGUACGCGAGCUGGGUUCAGAACGUCGUGAGACAGUUCGGUCCCUAUCCGUCGUGGGCGUAGGAAAUUUGAGAGGAGCUGUCCUUAGUACGAGAGGACCGGGAUGGACGCACCGCUGGUGUACCAGUUGUUCUGCCAAGGGCAUAGCUGGGUAGCUAUGUGCGGAAGGGAUAAGUGCUGAAAGCAUCUAAGCAUGAAGCCCCCCUCCAAGAUGAGAUUUCCCAUAGCGUAAGCUAGUAAGAUCCCYUGAAAGAUGAUCAGGUUGAUAGGUUCGAGGUGGAAGCAUGGUGACAUGUGGAGCUGACGAAUACUAAUAGAUCGAGGACUUAACCAU